GCCUCGAUGGUGAAACGGUAAACACGCUAGAUUCAAAAUCUGGUGCGAGAUAGCUUGGAGGUUCGAAUCCUCUUCGAGGCA
Molecule: transfer RNA, 81 nt
Filed under: Osmunda japonica
Lineage: Eukaryota; Viridiplantae; Streptophyta; Polypodiopsida; Osmundales; Osmundaceae
Description: tRNA-Leu
Rfam family: tRNA
About the family: Transfer RNA (tRNA) molecules are approximately 80 nucleotides in length. Their secondary structure includes four short double-helical elements and three loops (D, anti-codon, and T loops).
Source: RNAcentral